UAGCAUGCAGUUAAAUAAAAAGACGUGGAUAAACAUGUAGAGCAGAAGGCAGAGGACUUGCGGACGCGGGUUCGAUUCCCGCCGCCUCCACCA
This 93-nucleotide transfer-messenger RNA is filed under the name Acidiferrobacteraceae bacterium. RNAcentral describes it as "partial transfer-messenger RNA". It matches the Rfam family "transfer-messenger RNA", at positions 280 to 374 of the family's 374-position model. From Rfam's summary of the family: Bacterial tmRNA, also known as 10Sa RNA or SsrA, is named for its dual tRNA and mRNA-like properties. The record is from RNAcentral. Lineage: Bacteria; Pseudomonadati; Pseudomonadota; Gammaproteobacteria; Acidiferrobacterales; Acidiferrobacteraceae.